RNAcentral lists this non-coding RNA (213 nucleotides) under Gracilibacillus boraciitolerans. Its description in RNAcentral is "T-box sequence". It matches the Rfam family "T-box leader". From Rfam's summary of the family: Uncharged tRNA acts as the effector for transcription antitermination of genes in the T-box leader family. T-boxes are found upstream of many aminoacyl-tRNA synthetase genes and some amino acid biosynthetic genes usually in Gram-positive bacteria. The record is from RNAcentral. Lineage: Bacteria; Bacillati; Bacillota; Bacilli; Caryophanales; Bacillaceae.
UAGAAGACUAUGAAGAGGAAUAGUAGUAAACGAUAUAGGUUAAGAGAGGUGACAUAAUGGUGAGAGUCACUCCUAUACUCUUACGAACUCGCCUUGGAUGUUAUAAAAGUGAAACUAGUAGCUUUUGUCGUGUUCCGCGUUAAGGAAAUGAAGUGAGUGCUGGAAUCAGUACUAAAGUUGGGUGGUACCGCGGGAAUCUCUCUCGUCCCAUUG